RNAcentral lists this ribosomal RNA (389 nucleotides) under Carassius carassius (crucian carp). Its description in RNAcentral is "partial 12S ribosomal RNA". It matches the Rfam family "Bacterial small subunit ribosomal RNA", at positions 794 to 1384 of the family's 1533-position model. The record is from RNAcentral. Lineage: Eukaryota; Metazoa; Chordata; Actinopteri; Cypriniformes; Cyprinidae.
GCUCAGCCGUAAACUUAGACAUCCAACUACAAUAGAUGUCCGCCAGGGUACUACGAGCAUUAGCUUAAAACCCAAAGGACCUGACGGUGUCUCAGAUCCCCCUAGAGGAGCCUGUUCUAGAACCGAUAACCCCCGUUCAACCUCACCACUUCUAGCCAACCCAGCCUAUAUACCGCCGUCGUCAGCUUACCCUGUGAAGGUAAUAAAAGUAAGCAAAAUGGGUACAACCCAAAACGUCAGGUCGAGGUGUAGCGCAUGAAGUGGGAAGAAAUGGGCUACAUUUUCUAACAUAGAAUAUUACGAACAUGCACCAUGAAACAGUGCUUGAAGGAGGAUUUAGUAGUAAAAGGGAAAUAGAGUGUCCCUUUGAACCCGGCUCUGAGACGCGU